Molecule: ribosomal RNA, 1984 nt
Filed under: human gut metagenome
Description: bacterial LSU rRNA
Rfam family: Bacterial large subunit ribosomal RNA
Source: RNAcentral
UUAAGAUACUAAGAGCAUACGGUGGAUGCCUUGGCGAUAUCUGCCGACGAAGGACGUGACAAGCUGCGAAAAGCUGCGGAGAGAUGCAAAUAAUCGGCGACCCGCAGACAUCCGAAUGGAGAAAUCCGGCUGUGAUGAUGCACAGCCAUCCAUGCCCAAGAGCAUGAGAAGGGAACCGGGCGAACUGAAACAUCUAAGUAACCCGAGGAAAAGAAAUCAAACGAGAUACCCCAAGUAGCGGCGAGCGAACAGGGAAGAAGCCCAAACCGGUGAAGGAAACUUUACCGGGGUUGAGGACCAUCAGACCCGCGAAGAACUUUAGCCGAAACUGUUGGGAAACAGUGCCGAAGACAGUGAAAGCCUGGUAGGCGAAAAAGAGAAACGCGGAGAUGGCACCAGAGUACCGCGGGACACGAGAAAUCCCGUGGGAAGCAGGGGGGACCACCCUCCAAGGCAAAACACAGAUAUCGACCGAUAGCGCAUAGUACCAUGAGGGAAAGGUGAAAAGCACCCCGGGAGGGGAAUGAAAGAGAACCUGAAACCGUAUGUUUACAAGCAGUCGGAGACCGCUUAAUAAUAAGGUCGACGGCGUGCCUAUUGAAGAAUGAACCGGCGAGUUACGAAGCCUGGCAAGGUUAAGCAGGAAAUGCGGAGCCGAAGCGAAAGCGAGUCUUAAGAGGGCGCAAGUCAGGAAGCGUAGACCCGAAACCACAGUGAUCUACCCAUGUCCAGGUUGAAACACAGGUAAAAAUGUGUGGAGGACCGAACCUAUAUCCGUUGAAAAGGGUUAGGAUGAGGUGUGGGUAGGGGUGAAAUUCCAAUCGAACGUGGAGAUAGCUGGUUCUCCCCGAAAUAGCUUUAGGGCUAGCCUCAGGGAAAAGAUUGCAGGCGGUAGAGCACUGAUCAGGAGAGGGACCUACCCGGUUACCAAACCCAGUCAAACUCCGAAUGGCUGCAAUCAUACCUGGGAGUCAGACUGCGACUAAUAAGGGCCGCAGUCAAAAGGGAAACAGCCCAGACCAUCAGCUAAGGUCCCCAAUGCCGUGCUAAGUGGCGAAGGAUGUGGCAUUUCAUAAACAACCAGGAUGUUGGCUCAGAAGCAGCCACCAUUUAAAGAGUGCGUAAUAGCUCACUGGUCGAGAGACGCUGCGCCGAAAAUGUCCGGGGCUCAAGCACGGAACCGAAGCUAUGGCAUGAUAGCAAUAUCAUGGGUAGGGGAGCGUUCUUAUAAGGAAGAAGCAUGACCGGAAGGACAUGUGGACGAAUAAGAAGUGAGAAUGCCGGUAUGAGUAUCGAAAAGAAAGGUGAGAAUCCUUUCCACCGAAAGCCCGAGGGUUCCUGAGCAACGAUCGUCGACUCAGGGUAAGUCGGGACCUAAGCCGAGGCGGAAAGCGUAGGCGAUGGACAACAGGUUGAAAUUCCUGUACCGGAUCAAGUCGAUCGAGCGAAGGAGCGACGCAGGAGGGCACAUGAUCGCGCGGCUGGAAGAGCGCGUCCAAGUGCGUAUGUUGCAGCAGAGGAAAACCCCUGCAGCUAAAAGCAGAGACAUGAUGGGGAGUUAAAGGAAACUUUGACGAACUCAUGAAUCCCACACUGCCAAGAAAAACUUCUAGCGAGACAAGAUCCGCCCGUACCGUAAACCGACACAGGUAGGCGGGGAGAGAAUCCUAAGGUGCGCGGGAAAACCCUCGUUAAGGAACUCGGCAAAUUGCAUCCGUAACCUAGGGAGAAGGAUGGCCCCCGGUCAGUGAAGAGCAGAAACGCUCAGAGCUAAAAGGGGCGGCAGAAAAGAGGCCCAAGCAACUGUUUACCAAAAACACAGGUGCCUGCGAAAGCGAAAGCUGAAGUAUAGGUGCUGACGCCUGCCCGGUGCCGGAAGGUUAAGGAGAGAAGUUAGCGAAAGCGAAGCAUCGAACUGAAGCCCCGGUGAACGGCGGCCGUAACUAUAACGGUCCUAAGGUAGCGAAAUUCCUUGUCGGGUAAG